This 673-nucleotide non-coding RNA is filed under the name Mansonella sp. The record is from RNAcentral. Lineage: Eukaryota; Metazoa; Nematoda; Chromadorea; Rhabditida; Onchocercidae.
UUUGAAGUUUGAUUUUGGUUUUAGUUGUAUUAAGAUAGUAUUACUUAUUUAUAGUUUAUUUGGUGUGGAAUUUUUUAUUCACUGGUAGUUUUUUGGUUGUUUUAUUAGUGUUCCAGAAUAAUCGGCUAUACAUUUUAAUUUUUAACUCUAAUUGCUGUAAUGUUUUCUUGUUUUUUUUUGGUUUUUACUUUUAUUCAUUUGUAAAAUAUUUUGAUUUUGUCUUUUUUGAGAAAAUUUUAAAAAUUUGAUUUAUUGAACUGGAUUAGUACCCAGGUAAUCAAAAUUAAUUAAUUCGGGAGUAAAGUUUUGUUUAAACCGAAAAAAUAUUGACUGACUCUGGAUUUCUUUUUGGAACAUGUGUAUGGAGAGCCCUCUUUUAUAGUGAAUUUUUUUUUGCGCAUGUAUGAUUGUUUAGUUUUUAUUUUAUCUUGUAAUGCUUUUUUCUAAUUUAAAACAGAUAUAUAUUUGGCUUAUGGGUUCAUUAAUCAUGUGUUACUAUUAAUAAUUUUUUUUGGAUAGUAUUUUUAUUUUUUAUUUGAAAUCGGAAAAAAAAGUAAUUGUCUUUUUAUGUGUUGGUGAAUUUAAUAAAUGGAGUGGUACAAACCAUCCGUCAAUGGCCUAAAGGGGCGUAAGUUGUAGUAUGGUAGAGGUAAGGAAACUUGUUUCUAUUUUU